Molecule: ribosomal RNA, 459 nt
Filed under: Prevotella sp. oral taxon 289
Lineage: Bacteria; Pseudomonadati; Bacteroidota; Bacteroidia; Bacteroidales; Prevotellaceae
Description: bacterial SSU rRNA
Rfam family: Bacterial small subunit ribosomal RNA
Source: RNAcentral
GAUGAACGCUAGCUACAGGCUUAACACAUGCAAGUCGAGGGGAAACGACGGGGAAGCUUGCUUCUCCGGUCGUCGACCGGCGCACGGGUGAGUAACGCGUAUCCAACCUGCCUCUGACCAAGGGAUAACCCGUCGAAAGUCGGCCUAAUACCUUAUGCAGUCGUCGGAAGUCAUCUGAUGACGACGAAAGAUUUCAUCGGUGAGAGAUGGGGAUGCGUCUGAUUAGCUUGUUGGCGGGGUAACGGCCCACCAAGGCGACGAUCAGUAGGGGUUCUGAGAGGAAGGUCCCCCACAUUGGAACUGAGACACGGUCCAAACUCCUACGGGAGGCAGCAGUGAGGAAUAUUGGUCAAUGGGCGGGAGCCUGAACCAGCCAAGUAGCGUGCAGGAUGACGGCCCUAUGGGUUGUAAACUGCUUUUAUGCGGGGAUAAAGUGAGGGACGUGUCCUUCAUUGCAGG